CCGCGCCGGUUGACAACCGGCCGUGAUGGGGAUGUUGGACGCAGGUCAUUUUGCCGGUUUCUGCCUGCGACAGCAACGCAUUGGUACGCGUCGCCAUCUAACCCAUUGCCGGC
RNAcentral lists this small RNA (113 nucleotides) under Pseudolabrys sp. Root1462. Its description in RNAcentral is "Rhizobiales sRNA Atu_At1". It matches the Rfam family "Rhizobiales sRNA Atu_At1". Lineage: Bacteria; Pseudomonadati; Pseudomonadota; Alphaproteobacteria; Hyphomicrobiales; Xanthobacteraceae. The record is from Rfam by way of RNAcentral.